Molecule: ribosomal RNA, 1356 nt
Filed under: uncultured marine eukaryote
Lineage: Eukaryota
Description: SSU rRNA
Rfam family: Eukaryotic small subunit ribosomal RNA
Source: RNAcentral
CACUUCUAAGGAAGGCAGCAGGCGCGCAAAUUACCCAAUCCUGACUCAGGGAGGUAGUGACAAGAAAUAACAAUAAACCGGCUUAUGCCGGUUUAAUUGGAAUGAGUACAAUUUAAACAUCUUAACGAGGAACAAUUGGAGGGCAAGUCUGGUGCCAGCAGCCGCGGUAAUUCCAGCUCCAAUAGCGUAUACUAAAGUUGUUGCAGUUAAAAAGCUCGUAGUUGGAUUUCUGUGGGGACGGAGCGGCCGGCCGCAACUCGCGGUUCGAGCUAGCGCUUUCCCUACAUCCUGCCGCGAACCGUGCUACCAUUAAUUUGGUGGCGCCGGGGAUCGGCUCGAUUACUUUGAGAAAAAUAGAGUGUUCAAAGCAGGCCACACGCCUUGAAUAAGUUAGCAUGGAAUAAUAACUAAGGACUUCGGUUCUAUUUUGUUGGUGUUCGGGACUGAAGUAAUGAUUGAUAGGGACAGUUGGGGCGGUCUGUAUUCCAAAGCGAGAGGUGAAAUUCUUAGACCUUCGGAAGACAAACAGCUGCGAAAGCGUUCCGCAAGGAUGUUCCCUUUGAUCAAGAACGAAAGUUGGGGGAUCGAAGACGAUCAGAUACCGUCGUAGUCUCAACUAUAAACUAUACCAGCUAGGGAUCGGCCAACGUUAUUUUAUACCGACUUGGUCGGCACCUUAUGAGAAAUCAAAGCAUCUGGGUUCCGGGGGGAGUAUGGUCGCAAGGCUGAAACUUAAAGGAAUUGACGGAAGGGCACCACCAGCCGUGGAGCCUGUGGCUUAAUUUGACUCAACACGGGAAAACUUACCAGGUCCAGACAUAGUAAGGAUUGACAGAUUGAUAGCUCUUUCUUGAUUCUGUGGGUGGUGGUGCAUGGCCGUUCUUAGUUGGUGGAGUGAUUUGUCUGGUUAAUUCCGUUAACGAACGAGACCCCAGCCUGCUAAAUAGCGCGCGUGAGCUUUGCUCGCGGCGAGCUUCUUAGAGGGACUAUGAUGCGCGAUAGCACAUGGAAGUUUGGGGCAAUAACAGGUCUGUGAUGCCCUUAGAUGUUCUGGGCCGCACACGGGCUACACUGGCGCCUGCAACGAGCAUAUCAGCUGGCCCGAGAGGGUCUUGGCUAAUCUUUUGAACCGGCGCCGUGCUUGGGAUUGACCUUUGCAAUUGUUGGUCAUGCAACGAGGAAUGCCUUGUAAACGCGAGUCAUCAGCUCGCAUUGAAUACGUCCCUGCCCUUUGUACACACCGCCCGUCGCUCCUACCGAUGAAUGUUCCGAUGAAAUUUUCGGAGAGCACCUGUGAACUUGGCUCUGCCUUGCGAACGGGAGGCUCAAAGUCACUUAAAUCUGAACAUUUCGAGG